Molecule: ribosomal RNA, 1210 nt
Filed under: uncultured bacterium
Lineage: Bacteria
Description: bacterial SSU rRNA
Rfam family: Bacterial small subunit ribosomal RNA
Source: RNAcentral
GUGAAGCCCAGCUUGCUGGGUGGAUCAGUGGCGAACGGGUGAGUAACACGUGAGCAACCUGCCCUCCACUUCGGGAUAAGCCUUGGAAACGGGGUCUAAUACCGGAUAUGAGCUCGCAUCGCAUGGUGUGGGUUGGAAAGUUUUUCGGUGGGGGAUGGGCUCGCGGCCUAUCAGCUUGUUGGUGGGGUGAUGGCCUACCAAGGCGUCGACGGGUAGCCGGCCUGAGAGGGCGACCGGCCACACUGGGACUGAGACACGGCCCAGACUCCUACGGGAGGCAGCAGUGGGGAAUAUUGCACAAUGGGCGCAAGCCUGAUGCAGCGACGCCGCGUGAGGGAUGACGGCCUUCGGGUUGUAAACCUCUUUCAGCAGGGAAGAAGCGCAAGUGACGGUACCUGCAGAAGAAGCGCCGGCUAACUACGUGCCAGCAGCCGCGGUAAUACGUAGGGCGCAAGCGUUGUCCGGAAUUAUUGGGCGUAAAGAGCUCGUAGGCGGUCUGUCGCGUCUGGUGUGAAAUCCCGAGGCUCAACCUCGGGCUUGCAUCGGGUACGGGCAGACUAGAGUGCGGUAGGGGAGACUGGAAUUCCUGGUGUAGCGGUGGAAUGCGCAGAUAUCAGGAGGAACACCGAUGGCGAAGGCAGGUCUCUGGGCCGCAACUGACGCUGAGGAGCGAAAGCAUGGGGAGCGAACAGGAUUAGAUACCCUGGUAGUCCAUGCCGUAAACGUUGGGCACUAGGUGUGGGCUCAUUCCACGAGUUCCGUGCCGCAGCUAACGCAUUAAGUGCCCCGCCUGGGGAGUACGGCCGCAAGGCUAAAACUCAAAGGAAUUGACGGGGGCCCGCACAAGCGGCGGAGCAUGCGGAUUAAUUCGAUGCAACGCGAAGAACCUUACCAAGGCUUGACAUGUACGAGAAAGCCCCCGAGACGGGGUUCUCUUUGGACACUCGUACACAGGUGGUGCAUGGUUGUCGUCAGCUCGUGUCGUGAGAUGUUGGGUUAAGUCCCGCAACGAGCGCAACCCUCGUCCUAUGUUGCCAGCGGGUUAUGCCGGGGACUCAUGGGAGACUGCCGGGGUCAACUCGGAGGAAGGUGGGGAUGACGUCAAAUCAUCAUGCCCCUUAUGUCUUGGGCUUCACGCAUGCUACAAUGGCCGGUACAGAGGGCUGCGAUACCGUAAGGUGGAGCGAAUCCCAAAAAGCCGGUCUCAGUU